RNAcentral lists this transfer RNA (66 nucleotides) under Barbodes aurotaeniatus. RNAcentral describes it as "tRNA-Ser". The record is from RNAcentral. Lineage: Eukaryota; Metazoa; Chordata; Actinopteri; Cypriniformes; Cyprinidae.
AGGAAGUACAGAAAAUAAUAAGAACUGCUAAUUCUUAUGCCCGCGGUUAAAAUCCGCGGCUUCCUU